RNAcentral lists this ribosomal RNA (496 nucleotides) under Mesoserica sp. DA4367. RNAcentral's name for it is "partial 16S large subunit ribosomal RNA". It matches the Rfam family "Bacterial large subunit ribosomal RNA", at positions 1844 to 2600 of the family's 2925-position model. The record is from RNAcentral. Lineage: Eukaryota; Metazoa; Arthropoda; Insecta; Coleoptera; Scarabaeidae.
UUUAAAGUCUAAUCUGCCCAAUGAGGAGUUUAAUGGCCGCGGUAUUUUGACCGUGCGAAGGUAGCAUAAUAAUUAGUUUUUUAAUUGAAAGCUGGAAUGAAUGAUUGGACGAGAAAAUAGCUGUCUCAAUUUAGUUUAAUUAGAAUUUUAUUUUUGAGUUAAAAAGCUUAAAUUUUUUUAAAAGACGAGAAGACCCUAUAGAGUUUUAUAUAAUAUAUUAUAUUAUUUUUAUAGUAUAUUUUUGUUAUUAUAAUAUGUUAUAUUUUAUUGGGGUGAUAGAAAAAUUUAAGGAACUUUUUUUUUAUUUUUUACAUUAAUUUAUGAUAAAUUGAUCCAUUAUUUAUGAUUAUAAGAUUAAAUUACCUUAGGGAUAACAGCGUAAUUUUCUUUUAGAGUUCUUAUCGAAAGGAAAGAUUGCGACCUCGAUGUUGGAUUAAAAUAUAGGUUUGGUGUAGAAGCUAAGCUAUUAGGUCUGUUCGACCUUUAAAAUUUUACA